RNAcentral lists this ribosomal RNA (2624 nucleotides) under Iodobacter fluviatilis. Its description in RNAcentral is "bacterial LSU rRNA". It matches the Rfam family "Bacterial large subunit ribosomal RNA". The record is from RNAcentral. Lineage: Bacteria; Pseudomonadati; Pseudomonadota; Betaproteobacteria; Neisseriales; Chitinibacteraceae.
UCAAGCGACUAAGUGCAUCUGGUGGAUGCCUUGGCGAUGAUAGGCGAAGAAGGACGCGUUAGCCUGCGAAAAGCACGGGGGAGCUGGCAAAUAAGCAUUGAUCCCGUGAUAUCCGAAUGGGGAAACCCGGCCCUUUUGGGUCAUCCAUGACUGAAUACAUAGGUCAUGAGAAGCGAACUCGGCGAACUGAAACAUCUAAGUAGCCGAAGGAAAAGAAAUCAACCGAGAUUCCCAAAGUAGUGGCGAGCGAAAUGGGAAGAGCCUGCAUGUGAUAAAUCAAACUUUAGUGGAACAGUCUGGAAAGUCUGGCGACAGUGGGUGAUAGCCCCGUACACGAAAAAGAUUGGUUGGUACUAAGCAUGCGACAAGUAGGGCGGGACACGAGAAAUCCUGUUUGAAGAUGGGGGGACCAUCCUCCAAGGCUAAAUACUCAUCAUCGACCGAUAGUGAACCAGUACCGUGAGGGAAAGGCGAAAAGAACCCCGGGAGGGGAGUGAAAUAGAACCUGAAACCGGAUGCAUACAAACAGUGGGAGCCCUUGCAAAAUGGGGUGACUGCGUACCUUUUGUAUAAUGGGUCAGCGACUUACGUUCAGUAGCAAGCUUAACCGAGUAGGGGAGGCGUAGGGAAACCGAGUCCGAAUAGGGCGCAUAGUUGCUGGGCGUAGACCCGAAACCAAGUGAUCUAUCCAUGGCCAGGAUGAAGGUGCGGUAACACGCACUGGAGGUCCGAACCCACUAAUGUUGCAAAAUUAGGGGAUGAGCUGUGGAUAGGGGUGAAAGGCUAAACAAACUUGGAAAUAGCUGGUUCUCCUCGAAAACUAUUUAGGUAGUGCCUCAUGUAUCACUGACGGGGGUAAAGCACUGUUAUGGCUAGGGGGUCAUCGCGACUUACCAAACCAUGGCAAACUCUGAAUACCGUCAAGUGCGAGCAUGGGAGACAGACUGUGGGUGCUAACGUCCAUGGUCAAGAGGGAAACAACCCAGAUCGCCGUCUAAGGUCCCAAAUAAUCAGUUAAGUGGAAAACGAGGUGGGAAGGCAUAGACAGCCAGGAUGUUGGCUUAGAAGCAGCCAUCAUUUAAAGAAAGCGUAAUAGCUCACUGGUCGAGUCGUCCUGCGCGGAAGAUGUAACGGGGCUCAAACUGAUAACCGAAGACGCGAAUAUGCACGAUGUGCAUAUGGUAGAGGAGCGUUCCGUAGGCCUGCGAAGGUGUCUUGAGAAGGAUGCUGGAGGUAUCGGAAGUGCGAAUGCUGACAUGAGUAGCGAUAAUGCGGGUGAAAAGCCCGCACACCGAAAACCCAAGGUUUCCUGCGCAACGUUCAUCGGCGCAGGGUGAGUCGGCCCCUAAGGCGAGGCAGAAAUGCGUAGUCGAUGGACAACGGGUUAAUAUUCCCGUACCGAUAUAAAGUGCGAUGGGGGGACGGAGAAAGGUAGGUCAGCCCACUGUUGGAAUAGUGGGUUUAAGCGAGUAGGCGUGUGGCUUAGGCAAAUCCGGGCUGCUUUAACGCUGAGACGUGACGACGAAGUCUUCGGACUGAAGUGAUUGAUCCUAUGCUUCCAAGAAAAGCCUCUAAGCUUCAGCUUUAUAUUGACCGUACCGCAAACCGACACAGGUGGGUAGGAAGAGAAUUCUAAGGUGCUUGAGAGAACUCAGGAGAAGGAACUCGGCAAAUUAUCACCGUAACUUCGGGAGAAGGUGAGCCCAUAUUAGGUGAAGGCCCUUGCGGCUGGAGCUGACAUGGUCGCAGAGAAAUGGGGGCUGCGACUGUUUAUCAAAAACACAGCACUCUGCAAAGUCGAAAACGACGUAUAGGGUGUGACGCCUGCCCGGUGCUGGAAGAUUAAAUGAUGGGGUGCAAGCUCUUGACUGAAGUCCCAGUAAACGGCGGCCGUAACUAUAACGGUCCUAAGGUAGCGAAAUUCCUUGUCGGGUAAGUUCCGACCCGCACGAAUGGCGUAACGAUGGCCCUACUGUCUCCUCCUGAGACUCAGCGAAGUUGAAAUGUUUGUGAAGAUGCAAUCUCCCCGCUGCUAGACGGAAAGACCCGUGAACCUUUACUGUAGCUUUGGCAUUGGACUUUGAAGUGGUUUGUGUAGGAUAGGUGGGAGACAUUGAAGCAUGGACGCUAGUCUGUGUGGAGUCGUCCUUGAAAUACCACCUGACCCCUUUGAGGUUCUAACCUUGGUCCGUUAUCCGGAUCGGGGACCGUGCAUGGUAGGCAGUUUGACUGGGGCGGUCUCCUCCCAAUUGUAACGGAGGAGCUCGAAGGUCGCCUAGGUACGGUCGGACAUCGUACUGAUAGUGUAAUGGCAUAAGGCGGCUUAACUGCGAGACAGACAAGUCGAGCAGGUGCGAAAGCAGGACAUAGUGAUCCGGUGGUUCUGAAUGGAAGGGCCAUCGCUCAACGGAUAAAAGGUACUCGGGGAUAACAGGCUGAUUCCGCCCAAGAGUUCACAUCGACGGCGGAGUUUGGCACCUCGAUGUCGGCUCAUCACAUCCUGGGGCUGUAGCCGGUCCCAAGGGUAUGGCUGUUCGCCAUUUAAAGUGGUACGUGAGCUGGGUUCAAAACGUCGUGAGACAGUUUGGUCCCUAUCUGCAGUGGGCGUUGGAAAUUUGAGGGGG